AGUGAACGCUGGCGGUAGGCCUAACACAUGCAAGUCGAACGGCAGCACAGUAAGAGCUUGCUCUUACGGGUGGCGAGUGGCGGACGGGUGAGGAAUACAUCGGAAUCUACUUUUUCGUGGGGGAUAACGUAGGGAAACUUACGCUAAUACCGCAUACGACCUACGGGUGAAAGCAGGGGAUCUUCGGACCUUGCGCGAUUGAAUGAGCCGAUGUCGGAUUAGCUAGUUGGCGGGGUAAAGGCCCACCAAGGCAACGAUCCGUAGCUGGUCUGAGAGGAUGAUCAGCCACACUGGAACUGAGACACGGUCCAGACUCCUACGGGAGGCAGCAGUGGGGAAUAUUGGACAAUGGGCGCAAGCCUGAGCCAGCCAUACCGCGUGGGUGAAGAAGGCCUUCGGGUUGUAAAGCCCUUUUGUUGGGAAAGAAAAGCAGCAGGUUAAAACCCCGCUGUUCUGACGGUACCCAAAGAAUAAGCACCGGCAAACUUCGG
This 491-nucleotide ribosomal RNA is filed under the name uncultured bacterium. Its description in RNAcentral is "partial 16S ribosomal RNA". It matches the Rfam family "Bacterial small subunit ribosomal RNA", at positions 29 to 506 of the family's 1533-position model. The record is from RNAcentral.